CCUACGGGUGGCUGCAGUGAGGAAUAUUGGACAAUGACCGGAAGUCUGAACCAGCCAUGCAGCGUGAAGGUCAGUGCCCUAUGGGCGGUAAACUUCUGUUGUGCGGGAGCAAUAAUGGUCAUGGGUGGCCAGACGAGAGUACCGUACGAAUAAGAAUCGGCUAACACCGUGCCAGCAGCAGCGGUAAUACGGGGGAUGCAAGCGUUAUCCGGAUUUAUUGGGUUUAAAGGGUGCGUAGGCUGUGAGGUAAGUCAGAGGUGAAAUGUCGGGGCUCAACCCCGGCCGGCCGUUGAAACUGGUUAUCUAGAGUUGGAGAGAGGUAUGCGGAAUUCGAGGUGUAGCGGUGAAAUGCAUAGAUAUCACGAAGAACUCCGAUGGCGAAGGCAGCAUACCGGGUCCAUACUGACGCUGAGGCACGAAAGCGUGGGGAUCGAACAGGAUUAGAUACCCUUGUAGUC
This 458-nucleotide ribosomal RNA is filed under the name uncultured bacterium. RNAcentral's name for it is "partial 16S ribosomal RNA". It matches the Rfam family "Bacterial small subunit ribosomal RNA", at positions 338 to 795 of the family's 1533-position model. The record is from RNAcentral.